RNAcentral lists this transfer RNA (72 nucleotides) under Candidatus Woesearchaeota archaeon. RNAcentral's name for it is "tRNA-Val". It matches the Rfam family "tRNA". Rfam says of the family: Transfer RNA (tRNA) molecules are approximately 80 nucleotides in length. Lineage: Archaea; Nanobdellati; Candidatus Woesearchaeota. The record is from RNAcentral.
GGACCCAUGGUCUAGUGGUAUGACGUCACCUUGACUCGGUGAAGGUCUCCGGUUCGAAUCCGGAUGGGUCCA